GACACUGCCGCCAGGACGGCUUCAUCGCCGCGGGCUGGCCCCCGGCAGGCUGCGCUGCCGCGGUCGGAGGGAGCGCUUCUCCGGCGAGCACUGGGGCGCUCUCGACUUCCUGCGGUCCCGGGGAGCAGGCGGGAGGCGGCGGCAGACCGAGGUGUGAAGUAUAUCAUCACAUAUUUUCUCAAGGAGAAAUGUCUGUAUAUGUGGAAAACAUACUGAGUCACUGAAUUUUUCACAUUUCUAUAUGAGAUGUGUUGAUGCAGACUGUGACAUGGCAUGGAUUGUUCAAAUAAAUUGUUUCCUGCAUAUCAGACUGGGGCAGAAGAUACAAUUGGAAGACUUCAAGGACCUAAGAGACAAUAAGGCACUGCAUAGAAGAAGCCUGAAUCCUUGAGCUAUUACAUGGAACAGAGUUCCCAUACUAAUCUACACUGUAACAUAGACAAUAAAUAAACCUUUACUGUAUUAAACCA
Molecule: long non-coding RNA, 470 nt
Organism: Suricata suricatta (meerkat)
Lineage: Eukaryota; Metazoa; Chordata; Mammalia; Carnivora; Herpestidae
Exons: 3
Source: RefSeq, a predicted model, not a curated record